UGUGCCAGCAGCCGCGGUAAUACGGAGGGUGCAAGCGUUAAUCGGAAUUACUGGGCGUAAAGCGCACGCAGGCGGUCUGUCAAGUCGGAUGUGAAAUCCCCGGGCUCAACCUGGGAACUGCAUUCGAAACUGGCAGGCUAGAGUCUUGUAGAGGGGGGUAGAAUUCCAGGUGUAGCGGUGAAAUGCGUAGAGAUCUGGAGGAAUACCGGUGGCGAAGGCGGCCCCCUGGACAAAGACUGACGCUCAGGUGCGAAAGCGUGGGGAGCAAACAGGAUUAGAAACCCCAGUAGUCCA
RNAcentral lists this ribosomal RNA (294 nucleotides) under uncultured Klebsiella sp. Its description in RNAcentral is "partial 16S ribosomal RNA". It matches the Rfam family "Bacterial small subunit ribosomal RNA", at positions 504 to 797 of the family's 1533-position model. The record is from RNAcentral. Lineage: Bacteria; Pseudomonadati; Pseudomonadota; Gammaproteobacteria; Enterobacterales; Enterobacteriaceae.